AAGUCGUAACAAGGUUUCCGUAGGUGAACCUGCGGAAGGAUCAUUAACACGUUUUUACGUAUUAUCAACCAACUGUGCAUUCUAUUUAUUUGUCUUCGGAUAAAUAAAUUGUUUUUCACAUUUUUCACCAAAUGUCAUAUGCAUUAGUUGUUCUAAUAGUUGGAAUAUUGAUUUAUUCUCUCUAUUGUUCUUAUAUAUUAUUAAUUUAAUAGUAUCUAACAACUCUUAGCAAUGGAUAUCUUGGUUCUC
This 249-nucleotide unclassified non-coding RNA is filed under the name fungal sp. RNAcentral describes it as "partial internal transcribed spacer region". The stretch from base 1 to 46 matches the Rfam family "Eukaryotic small subunit ribosomal RNA", at positions 1786 to 1831 of the family's 1831-position model. The record is from RNAcentral. Lineage: Eukaryota; Fungi.